Molecule: ribosomal RNA, 500 nt
Filed under: uncultured bacterium
Lineage: Bacteria
Description: bacterial SSU rRNA
Rfam family: Bacterial small subunit ribosomal RNA
Source: RNAcentral
CAGGAUGAACGCUAGCGAUAGGCUAACACAUGCAAGUCGAGGGGCAGCACGGUGUAGCAAUACACGUGGUGGCGACCGGCGUACGGGUGCGUAACACGUAUGCAACCUACCCGCUAGUGGGGGAUAACCCGGCGAAAGUCGGACUAAUACCCCAUAUUAUUCUUACCGGGCAUCCGGUAGGUCUGAAAGAUUUAUCGAUUGCGGAUGGGCAUGCGGAUGAUUAGCUAGUAGGUGGGGUAACGGCUCACCUAGGCGACGAUCAUUAGGGGUUCUGAGAGGAAGGUCCCCCACACUGGAACUGAGACACGGUCCAGACUCCUACGGGAGGCAGCAGUGAGGAAUAUUGGUCAAUGGGCGCUAGCCUGAACCAGCCAAGUCGCGUGAAGGAUGACAGAUCUAUGGUUUGUAAACUUCUUUUGCAGGGGAGUAAAGUGCGACACGUGUGUUGUAUUGCAAGUACCCUGCGAAUAAGCAUCGGCUAACUCCGUGCCAGCCGCAGC